AGAGUUUGAUCCUGGCUCAGGACGAACGCUGGCGGCGUGCCUAAUACAUGCAAGUCGAGCGAGCUUGCCUAGAUGAUUUUAGUGCUUGCACUAAAUGAAACUAGAUACAAGCGAGCGGCGGACGGGUGAGUAACACGUGGGUAACCUGCCCAAGAGACUGGGAUAACACCUGGAAACAGAUGCUAAUACCGCGG
Molecule: ribosomal RNA, 194 nt
Filed under: uncultured bacterium
Lineage: Bacteria
Description: partial 16S ribosomal RNA
Rfam family: Bacterial small subunit ribosomal RNA
Source: RNAcentral